CCUACGGGGGACAGCAGUGAGGAAUAUUGGUCAAUGGACGAGAGUCUGAACCAGCCAAGUAGCGUGAAGGAUGACUGCCCUAUGGGUUGUAAACUUCUUUUAUAUGGGAAUAAAACGUUCCACGUGUGGGCUUUUGUAUGUACCAUAUGAAUAAGGAUCGGCUAACUCCGUGCCAGCAGCCGCGGUAAUACGGAGGAUCCGAGCGUUAUCCGGAUUUAUUGGGUUUAAAGGGAGCGUAGGUGGAUUGUUAAGUCAGUUGUGAAAGUUUGCGGCUCAACCGUAAAAUUGCAGUUGAAACUGGCAGUCUUGAGUACAGUAGAGGUGGGCGGAAUUCGUGGUGUAGCGGUGAAAUGCUUAGAUAUCACGAAGAACUCCGAUUGCGAAGGCAGCUCACUGGACUGCAACUGACACUGAGGCUCGAAAGUGUGGGUAUCAAACAGGAUUAGAUACCCUAGUAGUC
Molecule: ribosomal RNA, 460 nt
Filed under: uncultured bacterium
Lineage: Bacteria
Description: partial 16S ribosomal RNA
Rfam family: Bacterial small subunit ribosomal RNA
Source: RNAcentral